AAGGGAGACCUAAUUCGGGUAGAAGACGAAAAAAUAGUAGUCGAAACCAAGAAUCAAUCCCAAAAGGUCGGAACGAGGUAUGUGGCUUUCAAACUAGGUUCUGGGUUCACAAAAGACCUGAAUCAGGAACAAGGGCUAUUAGCUCAGGUGGUUAGAGCGCACCCCUGAUAAGGGUGAGGUCCCUGGUUCGAGUCCAGGAUGGCCCACCUGCACAGGUGGCAAAAACAAGGGAAACGAGGAAUCAGCACCUUAUCUUACUUACAUAGUAAGAGAGAAUGCUGGCUCUGAGUAAAGAGUCCAGAGGAACCUUGAAAACUGCAUAGAGCUAGGUGAAAAAGCCAAAAAAGAAGACCGCAA
This 357-nucleotide transfer RNA is filed under the name uncultured Microcystis sp. RNAcentral describes it as "partial 16S-23S ribosomal RNA intergenic spacer". The stretch from base 133 to 206 matches the Rfam family "tRNA". The record is from RNAcentral. Lineage: Bacteria; Bacillati; Cyanobacteriota; Cyanophyceae; Chroococcales; Microcystaceae.